AGUGAACGCUGGCGGUAGGCCUAACACAUGCAAGUCGAACGGCAGCACAGUAAGAGCUUGCUCUUACGGGUGGCGAGUGGCGGACGGGUGAGGAAUACAUCGGGAUCUACGUUUUCGUGGGGGAUAACGUAGGGAAACUUACGCUAAUACCGCAUACGACCUACGGGGGAAAGCAGGGGAUCUUCGGACCUUGCGCGAUUGAAUGAGCCGAUGUCGGAUUAGCUAGUUGGCGGGGUAAAGGCCCACCAAGGCGACGAUCCGUAGCUGGUCUGAGAGGAUGAUCAGCCACACUGGAACUGAGACACGGUCCAGACUCCUACGGGAGGCAGCAGUGGGGAAUAUUGGACAAUGGGCGCAAGCCUGAUCCAGCCAUACCGCGUGGGGGAAGAAGGCCUUCGGGUUGUAAAGUCCUUUUGUUGGGAAAGAAAAGCAUCAGGUUAAUACCCCGCUGUUCUGACGGUACCCAAAGAAUAAGCACCGGCUAACUUCGUG
This 492-nucleotide ribosomal RNA is filed under the name uncultured bacterium. RNAcentral describes it as "partial 16S ribosomal RNA". It matches the Rfam family "Bacterial small subunit ribosomal RNA", at positions 29 to 507 of the family's 1533-position model. The record is from RNAcentral.